This 132-nucleotide small RNA is filed under the name Escherichia coli. RNAcentral's name for it is "RtT sRNA". It matches the Rfam family "RtT RNA". Rfam says of the family: This family represents a bacterial cis-regulatory element known as RtT RNA. The exact function of RtT is unknown although it is thought that it may be involved in changing the cellular response in relation to amino acid starvation. Lineage: Bacteria; Pseudomonadati; Pseudomonadota; Gammaproteobacteria; Enterobacterales; Enterobacteriaceae. The record is from RNAcentral.
AUUCUGCCCACGCGGGGAAGGAUGAGAAGCUUCGACCAAGGUUCGACUUGAGCGCCAGCGAGAGAGCGUUGCCGCAGGCAACGACCCGAAGGGCGAAGCGCGCAGCGCUGAGUAAUCCUUCCCCCACCACCA